Molecule: long non-coding RNA, 989 nt
Organism: Rhopilema esculentum
Lineage: Eukaryota; Metazoa; Cnidaria; Scyphozoa; Rhizostomeae; Rhizostomatidae
Source: RefSeq, a predicted model, not a curated record
AGAUACCCGUCAUCAAUAUAUACACCAAACAAAUUUCGCCGCCAAGAAAUGAAAGCAGCCUUGGCUUAUCCACAAAAAGCUAAUCAGGACAGACCGGACAUACAUUGCAUAGAUCCGGGCUAUUAAGUGUUAAGAGGAAGCCAAAGCAACAGGAUGGUACAAAUGACAGCGGAGCCGCCCAUUAUCGAAAAAGGCAGCACCACAUGGAAGACCAUGAGCCAUUUUGCAGCCCAAGGUGCCAUUGCAUAACCAAUUUGACAAGCGAUUUGCAGAAAGCCAAUUCCAGCACCUCUGUAUAGGAUAAAAUUCAAACAAGGAAUCACGGAGACCGCAAUGCAUGAUAUCCCGGAUAUAAACAUGGGAAUUAAAACAGUCCUCUUUCGCCCGAUUCUGUAGAGAGAAAGUGCGUGAGUCAUUUUAGUUACCAUCUAGUAUGCCUACUAUGGAGAAAUAAGGUUCAAGGUGGGACCUCUCCAAAACGUCUUGUUAGAAGCACAGUUGUCUGAAAUUUAUUUCCAAGAAGCAAGAACCUGAGAACCUAGAAACCAAGAAACCUAGAAAACAAGAACCUAGAAAAAUAUUCAACUUGUAAGAGAUAAGAAUCGUUAAAAAACGCUCCGUUAUAAAAAGCUUGUAUUUGCAGAAUUUAAACCUAGCGUUUUAAAGGGUGAUAAAAAAUCGUGUUUUGUGUAAAAUACACUAUUCUGAAGUAAAAAGAAGCCACUGGUGCCACAAAAUUUGAAGACAGCACGGAAAAGUGGAAAGAUCGCAUUCUAAGAGUGUAAACUGUAAGAUAAUGACAAAAGGUGAGCAGAAUGUUGUAUCCAGAUUAAAAUUAAAAGGUAAAUGGCAUGUUUAGUCAUGGUUUGAUCGGUUCCCAUUUUUUCUUAGGGUGAAAAGUACUGAAUUAUGCUUUGUUCCAGCUUUUGCAUGCUUUCUUCAAAAUAUUUUAAACAUGAACUACAGCAAAAGAAACAGUAUACUUGUUG